AAAAACUUCCGCCAGGGAGAGAUUAAAUUUUCCAAACUAAAUGAAUUUUUGUGAUCAUGAUUCCCAUUGAUAAAAAAAACAUGGCGGCUGCUUGUUUCUUGACUUCGCUUCAACACUUUAAACUCAUCAUGAACUCCCAAUAUGCAACAAAUAUACACAAUUUCAAGUCUAUUGUGUACGUACGGUUGGGAAGUAAUGUAUUUGCAUUCAAUUCUGACAGAAAAGUUUUGUGGCGAUUACCUGAAUUAAAUCAGUGCAUAUAGACCUCUAGAAAGAAGCCUACACAAGUUCCAGGAAAUACAAGAUGAAGAGUAUAAGUUGCCAUUAUGAAGGGAUAAUGUAGUCAGCACUAUGCCCAGCCACUUUUUUUGCUUUCCCCAAUGUCAAGUACCCAUCAGAGCUGAGUGUUCUCAGGUAAAUGGAACUUCAUGAAAAUUGAAGAAAAAUUAAUAACAAGUAAAUGAACAUGGUGUUAUGGGUUGCUGCAAUCACCACUUUAAUGGAAUUUUUCAAGGACAAUUUAAAUGUAGUAAAGAAAUAGGGAUGCCACUACAAAUCUGGUGAUGUCUUUUGUAUCUACACAAAGGAAUCAGUUACUAGCUUGUGCAAGCAUGAAAAAAAACAUGUAUAAUGUAAAUGUAACUUUACAUUUGAACAAAGCUAUGAAAGUAACAUUUCUUCAUGUGAAUGUCCCAGAGGAGCUAACAGGUGUUCACAGACUGCUGUACAGUUUUGCCUUGUUUAUUCACCAAGAAACCCCAUGUACAACUUAUGAAAAUGCUGUUUAGGAUCUGCUUUUGGUUUCUCAACGCCAGAAAGACAAGAUGAAGAGUAUAAGUUGCCAUUAUUUUAAGAUAUUUUAUUUUAGAAUAUACUG
This is a long non-coding RNA of Physella acuta, 877 nucleotides long. RefSeq lists it as uncharacterized. NCBI's taxonomy places the organism in Eukaryota, Metazoa, Mollusca, Gastropoda, Physidae. The record is from RefSeq and is a predicted model, not a curated record.